AGAAUCAACGCUGGCGGCGUGCCUAACACAUGCAAGUCGCACGAGAAAGGGGAGCAAUCCCUGAGUAAAGUGGCGCACGGGUGAGUAACACGUGAAUGAUCUACCUCCGAGUGGGGAAUAACUGAGAGAAAUCUUAGCUAAUACCGCAUAAUACCCACGGGUCAAAGCAGCAAUGCGCUUGGAGAGGAGUUCGCGGCCGAUUAGCUAGUUGGCGGGGUAAUGGCCCACCAAGGCGAUGAUCGGUA
Molecule: ribosomal RNA, 245 nt
Filed under: uncultured bacterium
Lineage: Bacteria
Description: partial small subunit ribosomal RNA
Rfam family: Bacterial small subunit ribosomal RNA
Source: RNAcentral